AAGGACCUUCAGGGUCCUUGCCGCGGUACCUCUUGCGGUCGCCUUCUUCUUCACAUGUGUCCAAGCGGCAUCGCCGUAACACACGUCGUUACACUUUAACAUAAAAUGUCAAAACCAUUCAAAAACCAAACCUAAGCGGCCAGUCCAAAACGACUUAAAACAUUCGUUCCGAUGGUCUUUAAAGGUGUAUAAAUUAUUGUGAAUCUACAUAAUGAACAUCUUCGUUGACGCAACAACGACGACUAUCUAUCACGGUACAAUGUUGUAUUGAUGCGAGCAAAAUACUGUUAUUAGCGAAGUCGCGUGAGAAAUGGCACUUGGUAAUACGUGGUAAUGGUUUGGAUCGACUCUAACCUCGCGUUCCGGUUGCGAAAGAUGCCGGUCUCUUCAAUUCGUCACUGUCCUGAGGGGACUCUUCUGACAGAUGAAAGAUGAGUAACUAUCGAUAUAAUACACCUAAAUGCUACAAUGUUCGAGAAUAUCGCCAUGCGUUACUAAAAGACAUCUUUAAUUUAAUGUAAAAAAACGUUUAUCAUACAUAUCAAAUUAUGAUUACUUUAUGAUGAUGUAUUUUCUGAAAGUUCAAUGUCACAUUAGAUCAAUACCUUGUCAAACUUUGUUGCUGUUCUUAUUUGUUUAUGAUUAAUUCAACGUCUAUAAUGUUUUCUUGUAACUUAUCUAAUUAUUCCGUAAUCUCAAUAAUCCUCGAAUUGUAAGUUUUUUUAACGUCCUUAAAAUCGAAAAACUCUCGUAAGUUUCGGCCAGUUCGAACGACGUGGAGGCCUAUUCUUUUAAUAUAAAUUGUAUUAAUCUUAGUGAUAUUAAUGCGAACCUAUAAUUAGUCAUUCAAAUUCAAAUCAUUUAAUAAUUAAGGGCGACAAGAAGUUGCUAGUUUAACAAGUUGCAAGAAGUUUUAUUACAUUUAAUUUAAUAAAUCGGAUUAACUGUUUUAUAGAGAAAAUUUGAAUAAAAAUGUUUCAAUCCAGGUAGAUUUAGAAAGUAGUAACAAACUAUUUUUAUAAUAAAAUAUCAAACUACUAGAAAAACUUGUCGUGACAUUUCUCGAUAUUUUGCUAAGUAAUGCAUUACAAGUUGCGGAUUGUUUUUGUCGGCCCACGUCGAGUUGCAAUUUCCUCAAUUAAUUAGGCUCGUGCAGACAGUCGACCGUUAGUUUUGCGGACGCAAUCGGACUGAUCUAACGUCAAGAUACACUCUUCGUGUGUAUGUAGACCUCACACGAACAACAUCUGCAGCUAAUAGUCACCAUACAGGAUACGAUCAAGAAGCUACUAUAUCAAAAUGGUAAUAUAAAACGACAACAAAAAAUAGAAAAUCACAAGAUUUUUUGCUACUUAUAUAGAAUUACCGCAUCCGAUUUCGUUACCUUAUUGUGAAAACUAAAACAAAGUCUUAAAUUAGCCCAAAUUUUCAUAUUUUCACAAGUUACACUCAGGUAUUGAGAUAAAUUUUAAGAAAUUACGUUGUCGUGCCGGCUGUGCUACUCAGGUGACCAUAUAAGAGCCGACUCGCCAUAUGGCAUGGGAUAGCAGGUUUUAUUGGGCAACAAGACGGCCUUGUCUUAAUUCUCCAAGAGCUUAUCUAUCCGUCUUUCGACCUCGAUGUUAUCUAAUAAUUUUGUAAACCCCCAUAAAUGGUCAACUAACCGUGAUCUGACUUCACGUUCACACACACAAUUUUUACGUAAAUUAAUACAAUUGGAUUAUAAAAAUAAAAUGUUAUACAAAAAACAAGAAUUAAUUAGAGAUAAUACAUUACGUGAUAUCGGUGUUGAAUCAGAAAAGAUCCUCGACACAUUUCAAUCGUCGAGAUUAUCCGUAAUAUUAAUGGUCCACUAAUACGCAAGAAAUUCAUUUUAGCAUGUUAUUUAUUAAUGGGCAGGUUAGAUAAAUUGGUGAAGACGUUAUAAAUAACGCAGAUUAAUUCAUCACUACAGUGUAGGCGUGUAAUAAAAAACUAGUCGUUAACGGAUGGUGAAAUGGUCAUCUCUAAAAGACGAAAUCCUCUAUAUGCUGAAUGUAAAGGUAAUGCAAUUUGAUGCAAAUCGUCAUUUGGAGGCGACCAAAACCGGAGUUAAUCCGCAACUUCUUUAAAUAGACGAGAUCAUUCAGAAAGCUUAAGGCUCGUGUACAUCCUGACAUAACAAAAAGUAUGAUCUAUAAAUUUGCUGGUUUCUUAUACUAACUGGAUGGUGUCUUAUUUAAUAUAAGCGUCGAUAAUGGCCGUUGAAAAAAAGUGUCCAGGACGAGAAUCUCUUAUGUAAGGAAACAGAUACCUAAAUAAAAGUGUAAGUGGUAGAUGGUUAAGUGUAAACUUGGCUUGGUUCGUUUUUCUUAAAUUUUUUUCUUUUAUUUUCAGAGGCAACGUGAUUUUCACUUCUACCCGCUUCCAAGGACUACUGGUGCGCAUUUGCUCGCCCAGACUCUUCUCGGACCUUUUUCUUGCGCUACUCACUUCGAGCCGCAAAACCAGGGACAAAAAGGAGGCGUUCGUUAUUAACUGUUUUGUCCAGCCGCGGGCUUCAUCGUGUUUCUCUGUAAAAGGAGGCCGCCGACGAGAACAAAUAAUCUUGUAGGGCUUCAUGAUUUACGCCAAUAUUCACCUUAGAUUUCAACACAACAAUUUCACAAUAUUUGCCAAUUUAAAAUAUUACAGGAAAUCAAAUUUUUAUUUAUUCCUAAUAAUUAUAGAACUCGAAGAUUUGUUCUUCUCGCACUAUUGCCCUCUAAUUGGAUUCGUUUACGGUUCGUGGGCGUUCAGAUCAAAAAGAACAAAAAGAAAAAAAAAACAAAUCGUAAGAAAACAACGUUAUAGCGGCUCGAUUGAAAUUGCAGCCUCUGUUGUGGUUUUGGAUACACCACGGGUCAGUGGUUAACGCAAAAAGAACGCAGAACACGCAGGAAAUCAAAUAUUAGGAUGUUCGAUAGUGAAACGGACUGCAAACUAGAGGAAAUUGGAUCGUUUUUAAACUAACCACAUAAUAAAAAAGAAUGUUAAAAGAGAUACAACUAUAACAAAGUCAUUUGAAAUAAUUUAAACCAUCCGAAUAGUAAUUGUUGUGGUAUUAUUUAUUUUAUGUUGAAUGGAAUUAUAAAUUAAUUAAUUUAACAACAAAAAAAUCCUCUUGGGUAGUAGUCAAAUUUCUAUUGAAAUCUAAUUAGAUAUUAAGUGAAAAGGUAUAAUCGUUCUCUUUUCCUCUUAUAGACUUAUAAAGACGCGUAAAAUAGCAGGAAUUUAGUCGAGGUAACAGGCGCGGGGUAAGAACAAUAGUAAUCCCGUGUAGUAAUGAGCGCAAUCGUUCCUACGCUCUUUCCCGAUAUGGAUAUACCAGGAUUCCUGAGGGAUCGGUUAUAAAAUUAUCAUUAGAAAAAUGCUAUUGUGAGGAUGUUUUCUGCGCUUGUCGCCGGAGAUCGUGGGAAAUCGUCGCCGAGCUAUUCCGAAAAUCUUUUGAUCUCGCAUAUAGUAGAUAGGGGGUAAUCGCAGAAGCAACACUCUUACCAAAAGUAGAACCGUAAAGAUGACUCGGUUUUCUUAAAAACAAUUUAUCUGAACCUUUCAAGUUUACUUGUUCCUCACAAGAUCAUAUCGCCACGGUUCAAGAAGACGUGUUUAAAAGAAUUGUACCUGUGUCCAAAAACACUAAAAAUUGUGGAAAACAACUUGGUAUUUUUCUACCUGCUCAGAUUAAUUCAUGUCAUAAAUUUUUCACUUAGGUACCAAAAAAAAUUAAAACCUUAGGAUAAACGCACCAGUGUUUGACCUGUUAAAGAUUUUUUAAUGUCAGUGUUUGACCGAGCCAUAUUAUUUUUCUUGUAGAUCUCUCUGCCUUUACAUAAAAUGAUCAAAAUAUGAUCAAAUACACAUCUGAUUCAUUUAAACUUACUUACCCUACAUAUAAAAUAUAACAUCAUGAAGUAGUAUUUUUUAAAAAUUAAAAAGGAAAACAGUAUUUCGCAUUUAGUGUUUGACCACUUUGAUUACAUUACUUAAAACCGUCAAUGUUUGACCGAUUCUUAAUAUAAUAUUCAUUUUCAUUAUUUUUCCAUACUAUUUUGUUCACAAAAAAAGUUUAUAUUUUUGGACUCUUUAAGAACAUCUUUUAAAACAGGAGUAAAAUGCUCUUGACUUUACUUUUCACCCAAAUUUUGUGUUUUCCAACUGGGUUUUUGUAACAGGAAAACCCCUGCUGAAUGAAACAACCAUUCAACCAGCAGUUUUUCUUCAUCAGAAUUUAAAAAUGCUGGUGGGCCCAUUUUCCUCUGCACAGGUGUUUUUCCUUUUUCUUUAUAAAUAAGGUUUUACUUUGGAACGUUAAACAUCUUGGCUGCUUUUUCAUAAGAUAAACUCCUACUUCUUACAUCGAGAGUCUUUUGAAGAUCUUCUUCACUAUUUUUAAACUUAGGCUUCGUUGUCAUAUUGGUACUGAGAAAAUGUUAACCUGAUUCAUAUUUCCUAAAUUUUCCAUAUAGAUUUUCCAUUUUUUGAUAAUUGACCAUUAUAAGAGUCAGCGUUUGACCAACCUUUUAUCUUUUUAAUUUUACAGACUCAUUACUGCUUAAGUGCGGUCAAUUACUUUUAUUGUUAUAAAAAAGGUUUAAAAAAAUAGAAAAGAAUCAAACAUUUA
This 4642-nucleotide long non-coding RNA is filed under the name Onthophagus taurus. Its description in RNAcentral is "uncharacterized LOC111416822, transcript variant X1". The record is from RNAcentral. Lineage: Eukaryota; Metazoa; Arthropoda; Insecta; Coleoptera; Scarabaeidae.